This 253-nucleotide ribosomal RNA is filed under the name uncultured bacterium. RNAcentral describes it as "partial 16S ribosomal RNA". It matches the Rfam family "Bacterial small subunit ribosomal RNA", at positions 524 to 776 of the family's 1533-position model. The record is from RNAcentral.
UACGAAGGGGGCUAGCGUUGUUCGGAAUUACUGGGCGUAAAGCGCACGUAGGCGGACUACUAAGUCAGGGGUGAAAUCCCGGGGCUCAACCCCGGAACUGCCUUUGAUACUGAUAGUCUCGAGUCCGGAAGAGGUGAGUGGAAUUUCGAGUGUAGAGGUGAAAUUCGUAGAUAUUCGGAGGAACACCAGUGGCGAAGGCGGCUCACUGGUCCGGUACUGACGCUGAGGUGCGAAAGCGUGGGGAGCAAACAGG